GAUUGCAUUUAUUUCCUUUUUGUAAUCGCGGCUG
Molecule: non-coding RNA, 34 nt
Filed under: unclassified sequences
Description: S4-Bacteroidia ribosomal protein leader
Rfam family: S4-Bacteroidia ribosomal protein leader
Source: RNAcentral